This 213-nucleotide long non-coding RNA is filed under the name Elaeis guineensis (African oil palm). Its description in RNAcentral is "long non-coding RNA (EGUI_LNC080728)". The record is from RNAcentral. Lineage: Eukaryota; Viridiplantae; Streptophyta; Magnoliopsida; Arecales; Arecaceae.
AAGGUUAAUAAUGUCUUAGAGGUCGAGAUAUGAUAUUCAGAAUUGCAUGAGAUGCAAUUAGAAAGAAUUUUCUACCUAUAAAUUCAUAAGGAUUUGUUGUGUUAACACAAGAUCAUUAUGAGGAAUUAGGGUCUCAAUCCCAUUAAGAUAAAUAUGAAAUAUGUUUCGUUCAUCAUAGUAGAGGGUUAUAAUGUUCGAUAAAAUAGUGGGAGG